AUUGAACGCUGGCGGCAGGCUUAACACAUGCAAGUCGAACGGUAGCAGGAAGAAAGCUUGCUUUCUUUGCUGACGAGUGGCGGACGGGUGAGUAAUGCUUGGGAAUCUGGCUUAUGGAGGGGGAUAACUGUGGGAAACUGCAGCUAAUACCGCGUAAUCUCUGAGGAGUAAAGGGUGGGACCUCUUGGCCACCUGCCAUAAGAUGAGCCCAAGUGGGAUUAGGUAGUUGGUGGGGUAAAGGCCUACCAAGCCUGCGAUCUCUAGCUGGUCUGAGAGGAUGACCAGCCACACUGGAACUGAGACACGGUCCAGACUCCUACGGGAGGCAGCAGUGGGGAAUAUUGCGCAAUGGGGGGAACCCUGACGCAGCCAUGCCGCGUGAAUGAAGAAGGCCUUCGGGUUGUAAAGUUCUUUCGGUAAUGAGGAAGGGAUGUUGUUAAAUAGAUGGCAUCAUUGACGUUAAUUACAGAAGAAGCACCGGCUAACUCCGUGCCAGCAGCCGCGGUAAUACGGAGGGUGCGAGCGUUAAUCGGAAUAACUGGGCGUAAAGGGCACGCAGGCGGACUUUUAAGUGAGAUGUGAAAUCCCCGAGCUUAACUUGGGAAUUGCAUUUCAGACUGGGAGUCUAGAGUACUUUAGGGAGGGGUAGAAUUCCACGUGUAGCGGUGAAAUGCGUAGAGAUGUGGAGGAAUACCGAAGGCGAAGGCAGCCCCUUGGGAAUGUACUGACGCUCAUGUGCGAAAGCGUGGGGAGCAAACAGGAUUAGAUACCCUGGUAGUCCACGCUGUAAACGCUGUCGAUUUGGGGAUUGGGCUAUAUGCUUGGUGCCCGAAGCUAACGUGAUAAAUCGACCGCCUGGGGAGUACGGCCGCAAGGUUAAAACUCAAAUGAAUUGACGGGGGCCCGCACAAGCGGUGGAGCAUGUGGUUUAAUUCGAUGCAACGCGAAGAACCUUACCUACUCUUGACAUCCAGAGAAGCUUGCAGAGAUGCGAGUGUGCCUUCGGGAGCUCUGAGACAGGUGCUGCAUGGCUGUCGUCAGCUCGUGUUGUGAAAUGUUGGGUUAAGUCCCGCAACGAGCGC
Molecule: ribosomal RNA, 1082 nt
Filed under: Pasteurella multocida subsp. septica
Lineage: Bacteria; Pseudomonadati; Pseudomonadota; Gammaproteobacteria; Pasteurellales; Pasteurellaceae
Description: bacterial SSU rRNA
Rfam family: Bacterial small subunit ribosomal RNA
Source: RNAcentral